UAAACGCCUCGAAAGAGGCGCUAAUACCGCAUAAUGCAGCGGCAGCAAAUGCUGAAUAGUUGUUAAAGCGGGGGACCUCGAAAGGGGCCUCGUGCCUGAAGAGGAGCCUGCGGCAGAUUAGCUAGUUGGUGGGGUAAUGGCCCACCAAGGCGACGAUCUGUAGCUGGUCUGAGAGGACGGCCAGCCACACUGGCACUGACACACGGGCCAG
This 211-nucleotide ribosomal RNA is filed under the name uncultured bacterium. RNAcentral describes it as "partial 16S ribosomal RNA". It matches the Rfam family "Bacterial small subunit ribosomal RNA", at positions 143 to 334 of the family's 1533-position model. The record is from RNAcentral.